This 549-nucleotide ribosomal RNA is filed under the name uncultured Actinomycetes bacterium. RNAcentral describes it as "bacterial SSU rRNA". It matches the Rfam family "Bacterial small subunit ribosomal RNA", at positions 8 to 571 of the family's 1533-position model. The record is from RNAcentral. Lineage: Bacteria; Bacillati; Actinomycetota; Actinomycetes.
AGAGUUUGAUCCUGGCUCAGGACGAACGCUGGCGGCGUGCUUAACACAUGCAAGUCGAGCGAUGAAGUUUCUUCGGAAAUGGAUUAGCGGCGAACGGGUGAGGAACACGUGAAGAAUCUGCCCUCCACUUUGGGAUAACACCGGGAAACCGGUGCUAAUACCGAAUAUUGAAACAUAAGUGGCAUCACUGAGUUUUGAAAGAAUUUCGGUGGAGGAUGACUUCGCGGCCUAUCAGCUAGUUGGUGAGGUAAUGGCUCACCAAGGCAACGACGGGUAGCCGGCCUGAGAGGGCGACCGGCCACACUGGGACUGAGACACGGCCCAGACUCCUACGGGAGGCAGCAGUGGGGAAUAUUGGGCAAUGGAGGAAACUCUGACCCAGCGACGCCGCGUGCGGGAUGAAGGCCUUCGGGUUGUAAACCGCUUUCAGUAGGGAAGAAGCGAAAGUGACGGUACCUACAAAAGAAGCACCGGCUAACUAUGUGCCAGCAGCCGCGGUAAUACAUAGGGUGCAAGCGUUGUCCGGAAUUAUUGGGCGUAAAGAGCUCG